AGUGAACGCUGGCGGUAGGCCUAACACAUGCAAGUCGAACGGCAGCACAGUAAGAGCUUGCUCGUACGGGUGGCGAGUGGCGGACGGGGGAGGAAUACAUCGGAAUCUACUUUUUCGUGGGGGAUAACGUAGGGAAACUUACGCUAAUACCGCAUACGACCUACGGUUGAAAGCAGGGGAUCUUCGGACCUUGCGCGAUUGAAUGAGCGGAUGUCGGAUUAGCUAGUUGGCGGGGUAAAGGCCCACCAAGGCGACGAUCCGUAGCUGGUCUGAGAGGAUGGUCAGCCACACUGGAACUGAGACACGGUCCAGACUCCUACGGGAGGCAGCAGUGGGGAAUAUUGGACAAUGGGCGCAAGCCUGAUCCAGCCAUACCGCGUGGGUGAAGAAGGCCUUCGGGUUGUAAAGCCCUUUUGUUGGGAAAGAAAAGCAGCAGGUUAAUACCCCGCUGUUCUGACGGUACCCAAAGAAUAAGCACCGGCUAACUUCGUG
Molecule: ribosomal RNA, 492 nt
Filed under: uncultured bacterium
Lineage: Bacteria
Description: partial 16S ribosomal RNA
Rfam family: Bacterial small subunit ribosomal RNA
Source: RNAcentral